AGAGUUUGAUCCUGGCUCAGAACGAACGCUGGCGGCGCGCCUAAUACAUGCAAGUCGAGCGAGAAGGUGUAGCAAUACACUUGUAAAGCGGCGAACGGGUGAGGAAUACAUGGGUAAUCUACCAUCGAGUGGGGAAUAACCAACCGAAAGGUUGGCUAAUACCGCGUACGCCUCCGAGUCUUCGGGUUCGGAGGGAAAGCUGCACUGUGAGUGUAGCGCUCUUUGAUGAGCUCAUGUCCUAUCAGCUUGUUGGUAGGGUAACGGCCUACCAAGGCUUUGACGGGUAGCUGGUCUGAGAGGACGAUCAGCCACACUGGCACUGCGACACGGGCCAGACUCCUACGGGAGGCAGCAGUAAGGAAUAUUGCGCAAUGGGCGAAAGCCUGACGCAGCGACGCCGCGUGGGGGAUGAAGGUCUUCGGAUUGUAAACCCCUUUCGGGAGGGAAGAUGGAGCGAGCAAUCGUUCGGACGGUACCUCCAGAAGCAGCCACGGCCAACUUCGUGCCAGCAGCCGCGGUAAUACGAAGGUGGCAAGCGUUGUUCGGAUUCACUGGGCGUACAGGGUGUGUAGGCGGUUUGGUAAGCCUUCUGUUAAAGCUUCGGGCCCAACCCGGAAAGCGCAGAGGGUACUGCCAGGCUAGAGGGUGGGAGAGGAGCGCGGAAUUCCCGGUGUAGCGGUGAAAUGCGUAGAGAUCGGGAGGAAGGCCGGUGGCGAAGGCGGCGCUCUGGAACAUACCUGACGCUGAGACACGAAAGCGUGGGGAGCAAACAGGAUUAGAUACCCUGGUAGUCCACGCCCU
This 801-nucleotide ribosomal RNA is filed under the name Anaerolineaceae bacterium. RNAcentral describes it as "bacterial SSU rRNA". It matches the Rfam family "Bacterial small subunit ribosomal RNA", at positions 8 to 803 of the family's 1533-position model. Lineage: Bacteria; Bacillati; Chloroflexota; Anaerolineae; Anaerolineales; Anaerolineaceae. The record is from RNAcentral.